This 251-nucleotide unclassified non-coding RNA is filed under the name plant metagenome. RNAcentral's name for it is "partial contains small subunit ribosomal RNA, internal transcribed spacer 1, and 5.8S ribosomal RNA". The stretch from base 1 to 54 matches the Rfam family "Eukaryotic small subunit ribosomal RNA", at positions 1778 to 1831 of the family's 1831-position model. The record is from RNAcentral.
GGAAGUAAAAGUCGUAUCAAGGUCUCCGUAGGUGAACCUGCGGAGGGAUCAUUACAGAGUUCAUGCCCUACCGGGUAGAUCUCCCACCCUAUGUUAUUAUUACUUUGUUGCUUUGGCGGGCCGUUAGGCUCCGGCCCGACUACCGGCCCCGGCUGGUAAGCGCCCGCCAGAGGACCCAAAACCCUGAAUAUUAGUGUCGUCUGAGUACUAUAUAAUAGUUAAAACUUUCAACAACGGAUCUCUUGGUUCUG